CAAAAUGUUAUGAGGGAGAAUGGUUUUUUACCAAAACAGUUUCAGAGAGCUGGUGGUCGCUGUGAACCAGUACUGUGGUAGAAUACAAAUCACUCCUGAGCAGUUACCUUGAAAGUAGCCCAAGGGUACUAGUAAGGGUAAACGGGACGUCCCGUUACAGACAAAGGGUUUGAUAGAACCUGACAGAGUGGUCUUUUUUUAUAGAGACAAUUAGGGUGGUAACGCGUGGAGAUAAUCCUCGUCCCUGCA
This 249-nucleotide non-coding RNA is filed under the name Alkaliphilus metalliredigens. Its description in RNAcentral is "T-box sequence". It matches the Rfam family "T-box leader". Rfam says of the family: Uncharged tRNA acts as the effector for transcription antitermination of genes in the T-box leader family. T-boxes are found upstream of many aminoacyl-tRNA synthetase genes and some amino acid biosynthetic genes usually in Gram-positive bacteria. The record is from RNAcentral. Lineage: Bacteria; Bacillati; Bacillota; Clostridia; Peptostreptococcales; Natronincolaceae.